Molecule: ribosomal RNA, 252 nt
Filed under: uncultured bacterium
Lineage: Bacteria
Description: partial 16S ribosomal RNA
Rfam family: Bacterial small subunit ribosomal RNA
Source: RNAcentral
ACGAAGGGGGCUAGCGUUGUUCGGAAUCACUGGGCGUAAAGGGCGCGUAGGCGGCUUUGUAAGUCGGGGGUGAAAGCCUGUGGCUCAACCACAGAAUUGCCUUCGAUACUGCAUGGCUUGAGACCGGAAGAGGUUAGUGGAACUGCGAGUGUAGAGGUGAAAUUCGUAGAUAUUCGCAAGAACACCAGUGGCGAAGGCGGCUCACUGGCCCGGUACUGACGCUGAGGCACGAAAGCGUGGGGAGCAAACAGG